UGAGGAACCCGAAAGAUCGAAUGGGGAGAUUCAGCGUCAGCGGCUCUGGCUCGGCCGAGUGAGCGAUGUCGCGGACUACGGUAUCGCGGCGCGUUAUCACUCAUGCCUUGUCCGGUGUCGUCGUCGUGCACUUCUCCUCUAGUAGAACGUCGCGACCCGUUGGGUGCCGGUCUACGGUCCGAGCGGUAGACUGUCGCGUCGCUUCGGCGCACGCGUCAGACCCUCGGUCGCCCGGCCGGCUGCCCGGCGGUCGAACUUAUAAGGUAUCUUGCCGCAAUUAUCAAACUGCGUCGGGCCCGCCGCAAGCGCGGUCAGUGUCUCGGAGGUACGGACCCGGUGCCGUCCCCGAGCCUGACCAACUGUUGGCAGGCGGAGUCCUCGGACGGGCAAUACACAAUAAUACCGGUCUGCGACGCUACUGCUUUGGGUACUCUCAGGACCCGUCUUGAAACACGGACCAAGGAGUCUAACAUGUGCGCGAGUCAUUGGGACUGCGAAGCCUAAAGGCGUAAUGAAAGUGAAGGUCGACCUCGCGUCGACCGAGGGAGGAUGGGCCGCGUUGAGACGCGGCUCCGCACUCCCGGGGCGUCUCGUUCUCAUUGCGAGAAGAGGCGCACCCAGAGCGUACACGUUGGGACCCGAAAGAUGGUGAACUAUGCCUGGUCAGGACGAAGUCAGGGGAAACCCUGAUGGAGGUCCGUAGCGAUUCUGACGUGCAAAUCGAUCGUCGGAACUGGGUAUAGG
This 744-nucleotide ribosomal RNA is filed under the name Vespula consobrina. RNAcentral describes it as "eukaryotic LSU rRNA". It matches the Rfam family "Eukaryotic large subunit ribosomal RNA", at positions 572 to 921 of the family's 3401-position model. Lineage: Eukaryota; Metazoa; Arthropoda; Insecta; Hymenoptera; Vespidae. The record is from RNAcentral.